AGUUUGAUCCUGGCUCAGGAUGAACGCUAGCGGCAGGCUUAAUACAUGCAAGUCGUGGGGCAGCAGGUUUGUAGCAAUACAGAUGCUGGCGACCGGCAAACGGGUGCGGAACACGUACAGAACCUUCCUUUGAGCGGGGAAUAGCCCAGAGAAAUUUGGAUUAAUACCCCAUAGUAUAAUGAAGUGGCAUCACUUUAUUAUUAAAGAUUUAUCACUCGAAGAUGGCUGUGCGGCUGAUUAGGUAGUUGGCGGGGUAAAGGCCCACCAAGCCUGCGAUCAGUAACUGGUGUGAGAGCGCGACCAGUCACACGGGCACUGAGACACGGGCCCGACUCCUACGGGAGGCAGCAGUAAGGAAUAUUGGUCAAUGGAGGCAACUCUGAACCAGCCAUGCCCGCGUGGAGGAUGAAGGUCCUCUGGAUUGUAAACUUCUUUUAUAUGGGACGAAAAAAGGCUUUUCUAAGUCGUCUGACGGUACCAUAUGAAUAAGCACCGGCUAACUCCGUG
This 507-nucleotide ribosomal RNA is filed under the name uncultured bacterium. RNAcentral describes it as "bacterial SSU rRNA". It matches the Rfam family "Bacterial small subunit ribosomal RNA", at positions 10 to 507 of the family's 1533-position model. The record is from RNAcentral.